This 321-nucleotide RNase P RNA is filed under the name Bacteroidota bacterium. RNAcentral's name for it is "Bacteroidetes bacterium (mine drainage metagenome) RNase P RNA component class A". It matches the Rfam family "Bacterial RNase P class A". Rfam says of the family: Ribonuclease P (RNase P) is a ubiquitous endoribonuclease, found in archaea, bacteria and eukarya as well as chloroplasts and mitochondria. The record is from RNAcentral. Lineage: Bacteria; Pseudomonadati; Bacteroidota.
GCGGUUGCGUGUUCCACCGCUGGCAUUUUGUGCUAGAGGAAAGUCCGGACAACGCAGAGCGCCAGGCUUUGGAAACAAAGACCGGGGGAACCCGGUAGAAAGUGCCACAGAAAAGAACCGGCCGCAAGGCCAAGGGUGAAAACGUGAGGUAAGAGCUCACGCGCUCCGAUGGUGACAUCGGUUUGGGGUAAACCUCCUGGGUUGCAAGGCCGUGUAUACCGGGGCAGCGUUGCUCGCGCGUUCCCGGGGGGUAGGCCGCUCAGAUAAAUGGUGGAAAUGCCGCAAGGCAUACAGAAUCUGGCUUACAGCGCAACCUUUUUU